AAAAAUGUUAAAAUAACAAAAUAAAAACCCAACAACAGUUUAACAAACAAACAAAAAACACAGCAUUCCUUAGAAGUAUUUGUCAUCUAAGUGAGAAAAGUAUAAGGAAACUUGGAAUAAUUAUAUUCUAACCAUUUUGUUUUACAAAGAAACCAAGGUUAACAUAGAUGGGGACUGUUACCAGUUUUUGCUGCUAAUUAGUUAGAAGUGGAAGGAGAAGUCAAGCCUCCUGAUUCCUAGCCAGAUUUUCUUUUUCUCACUUCUCCUUGCUGAAUCAUUGGCCAAAAAUGUACAACUAACUUCUCCUUUUGGGAAGUGCAUAUUUCAUAUUAAC
This 334-nucleotide long non-coding RNA is filed under the name Homo sapiens (human). RNAcentral describes it as "HSALNT0112188". The record is from RNAcentral. Lineage: Eukaryota; Metazoa; Chordata; Mammalia; Primates; Hominidae.